Molecule: ribosomal RNA, 656 nt
Filed under: uncultured Polaromonas sp.
Lineage: Bacteria; Pseudomonadati; Pseudomonadota; Betaproteobacteria; Burkholderiales; Comamonadaceae
Description: bacterial SSU rRNA
Rfam family: Bacterial small subunit ribosomal RNA
Source: RNAcentral
AUGCCUUACACAUGCAAGUCGAACGGCAGCACGGGAGCAAUCCUGGUGGCGAGUGGCGAACGGGUGAGUAAUAUAUCGGAACGUGCCCAGUCGUGGGGGAUAACGUAGAGAAAUUUACGCUAAUACCGCAUACGAUCUACGGAUGAAAGCGGGGGACUCGCAAGAGCCUCGCGCGACUGGAGCGGCUGAUAUCAGAUUAGGUUGUUGGUGAGGUAAAAGCUCACCAAGCCGACGAUCUGUAGCUGGUUUGAGAGAACGACCAGCCACACUGGGACUGAGACACGGCCCAGACUCCUACGGGAGGCAGCAGUGGGGAAUUUUGGACAAUGGGCGCAAGCCUGAUCCAGCAAUGCCGCGUGCAGGAAGAAGGCCUUCGGGUUGUAAACUGCUUUUGUACGGAACGAAAAGGUCCUUUCUAAUACAAGGGGCUAAUGACGGUACCGUAAGAAUAAGCACCGGCUAACUACGUGCCAGCAGCCGCGGUAAUACGUAGGGUGCGAGCGUUAAUCGGAAUUACUGGGCGUAAAGCGUGCGCAGGCGGUUAUGUAAGACAGUUGUGAAAUCCCCGGGCUCAACCUGGGAAUUGCAUCUGUGACUGCAUAGCUAGAGUACGGUAGAGGGGGAUGGAAUUCCGCGUGUAGCAGUGAAAUGCGUAG